UGGGGAAUUUUGGACAAUGGGCGAAAGCCUGAUCCAGCAAUGCCGCGUGUGUGAAGAAGGCCUUCGGGUUGUAAAGCACUUUUGUCCGGAAAGAAAUCCUUGGCUCUAAUACAGUCGGGGGAUGACGGUACCGGAAGAAUAAGCACCGGCUAACUACGUGCCAGCAGCCGCGGUAAUACGUAGGGUGCAAGCGUUAAUCGGAAUUACUGGGCGUAAAGCGUGCGCAGGCGGUUUGCUAAGACCGAUGUGAAAUCCCCGGGCUCAACCUGGGAACUGCAUUGGUGACUGGCAGGCUAGAGUAUGGCAGAGGGGGGUAGAAUUCCACGUGUAGCAGUGAAAUGCGUAGAGAUGUGGAGGAAUACCGAUGGCGAAGGCAGCCCCCUGGGCCAAUACUGACGCUCAUGCACGAAAGCGUGGGGAGCAAACAGGAUUAGAUACCCUGGUAGUCCACGCCCUAAACGAUGUCAACUAGUUGUUGGGGGAUUCAUUUUCCUUAGUAACGUAGCUAACGCGUGAAGUUGACCGCCUGGGGAGUACGGUCGCAAGAUUAAAACUCAAAUGAAUUGACGGGGUC
Molecule: ribosomal RNA, 574 nt
Filed under: uncultured bacterium
Lineage: Bacteria
Description: partial 16S ribosomal RNA
Rfam family: Bacterial small subunit ribosomal RNA
Source: RNAcentral